UUGCUCCCUUAGGUCAGCGGCGGACGGGUGAGUAACACGUGGGUAACCUGCCUGUAAGACUGGGAUAACUCCGGGAAACCGGGGCUAAUACCGGAUGCUUGAUUGAACCGCAUGGUUCAAUCAUAAAAGGUGGCUUUUAGCUACCACUUGCAGAUGGACCCGCGGCGCAUUAGCUAGUUGGUGAGGUAACGGCUCACCAAGGCGACGAUGCGUAGCCGACCUGAGAGGGUGAUCGGCCACACUGGGACUGAGACACGGCCCAGACUCCUACGGGAGGCAGCAGUAGGGAAUCUUCCGCAAUGGACGAAAGUCUGACGGAGCAACGCCGCGUGAGUGAUGAAGGUUUUCGGAUCGUAAAACUCUGUUGUUAGGGAAGAACAAGUACCGUUCGAAUAGGGCGGUACCUUGACGGUACCUAACCAGAAAGCCACGGCUAACUACGUGCCAGCAGCCGCGGUAAUACGUAGGUGGCAAGCGUUGUCCGGAAUUAUUGGGCGUAAAGCGCGCGCAGGCGGUUUCUUAAGUCUGAUGUGAAAGCCCCCGGCUCAACCGGGGAGGGUCAUUGGAAACUGGGGAACUUGAGUGCAGAAGAGGAGAGUGGAAUUCCACGUGUAGCGGUGAAAUGCGUAGAGAUGUGGAGGAACACCAGUGGCGAAGGCGACUCUCUGGUCUGUAAC
Molecule: ribosomal RNA, 677 nt
Filed under: uncultured Bacillus sp.
Lineage: Bacteria; Bacillati; Bacillota; Bacilli; Caryophanales; Bacillaceae
Description: bacterial SSU rRNA
Rfam family: Bacterial small subunit ribosomal RNA
Source: RNAcentral